GGUUCCAUGGUGUAAUGGUUAGCACUCUGGACUCUAAAUCCAGUAAUGUGAGUUCAAAUCUUGGUAGAACCU
Molecule: transfer RNA, 72 nt
Filed under: Callithrix jacchus (white-tufted-ear marmoset)
Lineage: Eukaryota; Metazoa; Chordata; Mammalia; Primates; Cebidae
Rfam family: tRNA
About the family: Transfer RNA (tRNA) molecules are approximately 80 nucleotides in length. Their secondary structure includes four short double-helical elements and three loops (D, anti-codon, and T loops).
Source: Rfam by way of RNAcentral